ACAUACCGCAGUCUGAUGAAGCUACUUUCUUCGUCUCCUACUGGACGCCAGUGCGAUGAAGCGAACCAACCAACAUGGCGAGGCAUCGAUUUGGAGUCCCAGCUGACUUUGCACGCAUGGCCACCUCCACCCUGAGGCAGGUGAGUCUGGCCAGAGGUCACCAGUAUGAAGUCAGAUCCACCUCUCCUCCUAGUUUUACAGAAGCACUUUUCCAGUACAUCUGAGGGAACGCAUGCCUUCUCCGGCCGGCCUAAUGCUGUUUCCCAGGAGCAGCCUUCUGGAAGGUGGACCAUCAGGUAGAAGAAGUAUUCUUCAGAGAGUUGCAUUCCCAUGGGAAUGGUGACAGCUUGAGCUUGACGGGGAGUCCUGUUGUAUUCCGAGGUGUGAAGGGAAGGCAUGAACCGUGCAUAUGCUGUACCAUACAGUUUUGCCUACUGCUGUUUGUAGCUUCAUUGUAGCUGUGAAUGCUCCGUUCCUCUCCUUUUCACCCUUGAAGAUUCGCGAACAUACAGGAUCGGGCUGUGUGAGGCAGAGCAUCCCCCGCGUGGUAGGCAGGGGAGGAUGCGGGUCUGACGGCUCUCCCCACUGGGGCUGAUGGGAACGUGUUAGGGAAUCUCAGAGCUUGUGGCUAAACAGCCUGCCCUCCCACGGUCAGUGUUCCCACCAUCGCAGUGUGGAGGUUUUUGAUUUUCUGGAAGGUUUUUAUGGGUACAGAUUUUACAAAGGAAAAACGGGAAUGAAGACUAUCCAAUCAGAGGCUGCGUAGAUUGAGACACGGAUGGCCCUAAAGGCAGCAGAGACUGAUGUGCAGCCUACGGUUUUAAGGCUGCACCUAGGUUGACGUAAAACCUGUAGCCUAAAAGCCACGAACGUGCUUCCAUCUUUGUCAAAUAGGACAAGGGAGCCUCAGAGACUGUCUCCUGCCUGUGAGGGGGGAGAGACAGACAGGAUGGGGGAAAGGGGGAGGGGGGAGGAGAAGCGAAGAGAAGGAGGAGGAGGGAGAUCGGAGAGAGAAGGAGAAACUCUUGUCAAAAUCUUUUUAGUGCACAGAACUAAUUCUGUUCAUCUUGGAUUUGGUGAGCUGGAUAAUAUUCUGUGCACGGCUCCUAAAUGAAUUAUUAAAUGUCAACUCAAGAUGGCUUAACUAAAAUAUCCAAUUUAAUAACCAAAAGUAUCUAAGGUAACAAUAACAAUUUUACAGGUGAAUGUAGAGUUGUCAAGUCAAACCAUUAUAGACAAGCUUUUGGGGUUUCCACAUAAUCUCCCUCCACAUCUCAUCUUCUGUCACUAAAUACCCACUCUGGAGAACAUGUUCCAUUUCAAUAAAGAUCAUUUCUCCAGU
RNAcentral lists this long non-coding RNA (1342 nucleotides) under Lynx pardinus (Iberian lynx). The record is from RNAcentral. Lineage: Eukaryota; Metazoa; Chordata; Mammalia; Carnivora; Felidae.